ACGGGGGGGGUAAGCGUUGUUCGGAUUUACUGGGCGUAAAGGGCGCGUAGGCGGUCAGCACAAGUCAGUUGUGAAAUCUCCGGGCUUAACUCGGAAAGGUCAACUGAUACUGUGCGACUAGAGUGUGGAAGGGGCAACUGGAAUUCUCGGUGCAGCGGUGAAAUGCGUAGAUAUCGAGAGGAACGCCUGCGGCGAAGGCGGGUUGCUGGGCCGACACUGACGCUGACGCGCGAAAGCCAGGGGAGCGAACGGGA
Molecule: ribosomal RNA, 254 nt
Filed under: uncultured prokaryote
Description: partial 16S ribosomal RNA
Rfam family: Bacterial small subunit ribosomal RNA
Source: RNAcentral